Molecule: ribosomal RNA, 506 nt
Filed under: uncultured bacterium
Lineage: Bacteria
Description: partial 16S ribosomal RNA
Rfam family: Bacterial small subunit ribosomal RNA
Source: RNAcentral
AGUGAACGCUGGCGGUAGGCCUAACACAUGCAAGUCGAACGGCAGCACAGAGGAGCUUGCUCCUUGGGUGGCGAGUGGCGGACGGGUGAGGAAUACAUCGGAAUCUACUCUGUCGUGGGGGAUAACGUAGGGAAACUUACGCUAAUACCGCAUACGACCUACGGGUGAAAGCAGGGGAUCUUCGGACCUUGCGCGAUUGAAUGAGCCGAUGUCGGAUUAGCUAGUUGGCGGGGUAAAGGCCCACCAAGGCGACGAUCCGUAGCUGGUCUGAGAGGAUGAGCAGCCACACUGGAACUGAGAUACGGUCCAGACUCCUACGGGAGGCAGCAGUGGGGAAUAUUGGACAAUGGGCGCAAGCCUGAUCCAGCCAUACCGCGUGGGUGAAGAAGGCCUUCAGGUUGUAAAGCCCUUUUGUUGGGAAAGAAAUCCAUCUGGUUAAUACCCGGGUGGGAUGACGGUACCCAAAGAAUAAGCACCGGCUAACUUCGUGCCAGCCGCCGCGGUAA